This 73-nucleotide transfer RNA is filed under the name Felis catus (domestic cat). It matches the Rfam family "tRNA". Rfam says of the family: Transfer RNA (tRNA) molecules are approximately 80 nucleotides in length. Their secondary structure includes four short double-helical elements and three loops (D, anti-codon, and T loops). Further hydrogen bonds mediate the characteristic L-shaped molecular structure. tRNAs have two regions of fundamental functional importance: the anti-codon, which is responsible for specific mRNA codon recognition, and the 3' end, to which the tRNAs corresponding amino acid is attached (by aminoacyl-tRNA synthetases). tRNAs cope with the degeneracy of the genetic code in two manners: having more than one tRNA (with a specific anti-codon) for a particular amino acid; and 'wobble' base-pairing, i.e. permitting non-standard base-pairing at the 3rd anti-codon position. Lineage: Eukaryota; Metazoa; Chordata; Mammalia; Carnivora; Felidae. The record is from Rfam by way of RNAcentral.
GCCUGCCUGGUUCAGUCAGCAGAGUGUGGGACUCUUGAUCUCAGGAUUGUGGGUUCGAGCCCCACGUUGGGGA